UUCCUGUCUCGAUUCUGCAGCUUAUUUUGCAGCACUAUUUGCCAUAUGAUUUCCUCGUACUAUAUCCCUAUCACCUUUCAGAUGUGCUCUGCAAUGUAUAAUACUGACUUCCUUCGGCUCCCAUACUGCCUCCAACAGUUGAAGUAUUUCCACUGCAUACAUGAUUUCUUUCCCCUCUGAAUUCAGGAGUCCUCUUUCCUUAUAUAAUGCUCCAUGGACUUGAGUUGUUAGGAAGGCAUAUCUUGAGUCAGUAUAAAUAUUCACUCUCAGCCCCUCAGAUAGUUGCAAGGCCCUUGUUAGUGCAAUUAAUUCCGCUUUUUGCGCUGAUGUUCCUUUUGACAAUGGUCGUGCUUCUAUCACCUUGUCUAUGGUGGUCAUUGCAUAACCCGCAUAACAAAUUCCUUCUUUAACAAAACUACUACCAUCCGUGUAGUAUUGUAUAUCCGGAUUCUGGAUUGGGAAAUCUUGGAGAUCAGGUGAUGUACUCUUGGAUUCUCACAUAACAUAGCCUGAUACUUAGUCAUUCUGCU
Pelobates cultripes (western spadefoot toad) is the source of this 530-nucleotide non-coding RNA. The record is from the annotation of a GenBank genome assembly. Lineage: Eukaryota; Metazoa; Chordata; Amphibia; Anura; Pelobatidae.